ACGUCAGCUGAGAAUCACUGCAAAUCUGUGAAGUCUGGUGCUCAUCUGGUAUCAAUCCACAGUGCUGAGGACAACAAUGCUGUGGAUGAAUUCAGUCAGUGGAGCAGCCGACAUAACCCUCGCAUCUGGCUCGGUGGUCAUGCAGUAAAUGACCCUUCACAGGCUAGCAACUUCCUCUGGGUCGAUGGGUCUGAUAUGAAUUUCUCUGCCUGGAUUCAGGACCCCAAGCAACCAUCCGGUGACGGACGUUGCAUGGAGAUGAACUGGCUUGAAACCGGCAAAUGGAAUGAUAAACCAUGUAGCCAGAAUAACUUCUUUGUGUGUGCCUUUAAACCUGACGGAGGCCAUCCAAGAGUGGAAGCUACCGAUAGAUUGGAGCAUGAGGUGUCUCAGUUAAAGCCGUUGACAGAUGAGUAGUAUAUACCUGUCAGAUACGCUUUGCCUUAUAUAGCUUUAGUCUCAGACUUCACAACGACACCAGGACCCUGUAAAAUGUUAGAGAAAACCCAUGGCUCAAAGACAAAGCCUUUGUUGGUUUAAAGAUUUCCACAUCACAGUCAGUUUCAAUCCACCCAAUGUAUGAAUUUCUGAUAAUGGUUGUAUUUGAAUAUUCUAAACACAUUGCAUUUGAGAAUGCUAUAUUUUGUCAGAAAAUAACA
Oncorhynchus masou masou (cherry salmon) is the source of this 659-nucleotide long non-coding RNA. RefSeq lists it as uncharacterized. NCBI's taxonomy places the organism in Eukaryota, Metazoa, Chordata, Actinopteri, Salmoniformes, Salmonidae. The record is from RefSeq and is a predicted model, not a curated record. The transcript is spliced from 4 exons.